GGCGGCGUGCCUAACACAUGCAAGUCGAACGAGUCCUGACUUUCGGGUCAGAGGCGAGUGGCGGACGGGUGAGUAACACGUGAGCAAUCUGUCCCUGUGUGGGGGACAACCCGGGGAAACCCGGGCUAAUACCGCAUGGGCAGGCACUUCACAGGAAGAGCCUGGGAAAGAGGCCCUCUUUACAAUGGUCUCAUGCAGGGAGGAGCUCGCGGGCUAUCAGCUAGUUGGUAGUGGUAACGGCCUACCAAGGCGACGACGGCUACGGGGUCUGAGAGGACGACCCCGCACAUUGGAACUGAGACACGGUCCAGACUCCUACGGGAGGCAGCAGUGGGGAAUUUUGGGCAAUGGCCGAAAGGCUGACCCAGCGACGCCGCGUGCGGGAUGACGCCUCUCGGGGUGUAAACCGCUGUCAGAGGGGAAGAAUAGCGAGGGUGUAAAUAAUGUCCUCGUGUGACGGUACCCUCAAAGGAAGCACCGGCUAACUCCGUGCCAGCAGCCGCGGU
This 506-nucleotide ribosomal RNA is filed under the name uncultured bacterium. Its description in RNAcentral is "bacterial SSU rRNA". It matches the Rfam family "Bacterial small subunit ribosomal RNA", at positions 38 to 521 of the family's 1533-position model. The record is from RNAcentral.